GGACAACCUACCCUCUGAACGGGGAUAAACCCGGGAAACUGGGUAUAAUACCCGAUAGCGCUGGGCUGCUGGAAUGCACCCAGUGCGAAAGCUCCGGCGUCAGAGGAUGGGUCUGCGGCCUAUCAGGUAGUAGUGGGUGUAACGUACCUACUAGCCUACGACGGGUACGGGUUGUGAGAGCAAGAGCCCGGAGAUGGAUUCUGAGACACGAAUCCAGGCCCUACGGGGUGCAGCAGGCGCGAAAACUUUACAAUGCCGGCAACGGCGAUAAGGGGACCUCGAGUGCCAGGAUACAAUUCUGGCUGUCGAGAUGCCUAAAAAGCAUUUCAUAGCAAGGGCCGGGCAAGACCGGUGCCAGCCGCCGCGGUAACACCGGCGGCUCGAGUGGUAACCGCUAUUAUUGGGUCUAAAGGGUCUGUAGCCGGCCGGAUAAGUCUCUUGAGAAAUCCGGCAGCUCAACUGUCGGGCUUUCAGGAGAUACUGUUCGGCUUCGAGGCCGGAAGAGGUGAAGAGGUACUUCAGGGGUAGGGGUGAAAUCUUGUAAUCCUUGAAGGACCACCAGUGGCGAAGGCGUCUCACCAGAACGGUCCUGACGGCAAGGGACGAAAGCUAGGGGCACGAACCGGAUUAGAUACCCGGGUAGUCCUAGCCGUAAACGAUACUCGCUAGGUGUCAGCCACGGUGCGACCGUGGUUGGUGCCGUAGGGAAGCCGUGAAGCGAGCCACCUGGGAAGUACGGCCGCAAGGCUGAAACUUAA
This 758-nucleotide ribosomal RNA is filed under the name uncultured archaeon. Its description in RNAcentral is "bacterial SSU rRNA". It matches the Rfam family "Archaeal small subunit ribosomal RNA", at positions 102 to 859 of the family's 1478-position model. The record is from RNAcentral.